This 699-nucleotide ribosomal RNA is filed under the name uncultured Bacteroidales bacterium. Its description in RNAcentral is "bacterial SSU rRNA". It matches the Rfam family "Bacterial small subunit ribosomal RNA", at positions 65 to 758 of the family's 1533-position model. Lineage: Bacteria; Pseudomonadati; Bacteroidota; Bacteroidia; Bacteroidales. The record is from RNAcentral.
AGGGGCAGCAUGACCUAGCAAUAGGUUGAUGGCGACCGGCGCACGGGUAAGUAACACGUAUCCAACCUACCGGUUAUUCCGGGAUAGCCUUUCGAAAGAAAGAUUAAUACCGGAUAGUAUAACGAGAAGGCAUCUUCUUGUUAUUAAAGAAUUUCGAUAACCGAUGGGGAUGCGUUCCAUUAGUUUGUUGGCGGGGUAACGGCCCACCAAGACAUCGAUGGAUAGGGGUUCUGAGAGGAAGGUCCCCCACAUUGGAACUGAGACACGGUCCAAACUCCUACGGGAGGCAGCAGUGAGGAAUAUUGGUCAAUGGACGAGAGUCUGAACCAGCCAAGUAGCGUGAAGGAUGACUGCCCUAUGGGUUGUAAACUUCUUUUAUAUGGGAAUAAAGUGAGCCACGUGUGGCUUUUUGUAUGUACCAUACGAAUAAGGAUCGGCUAACUCCGUGCCAGCAGCCGCGGUAAUACGGAGGAUCCGAGCGUUAUCCGGAUUUAUUGGGUUUAAAGGGAGCGUAGGCGGACUAUUAAGUCAGCUGUGAAAGUUUGCGGCUCAACCGUAAAAUUGCAGUUGAUACUGGUCGUCUUGAGUGCAGUAGAGGUAGGCGGAAUUCGUGGUGUAGCGGUGAAAUGCUUAGAUAUCACGAAGAACUCCGAUUGCGAAGGCAGCUUACUGGACUGUAACUGACGCUGAUGCUCGAAA